ACAGCAGCCGCCACGGUAAUACGAGGGGUGCAAGCGUUAUUCGGAUUGAUUGGGUGUAAAGGGUGUGCAGACGGCUUAUUAAGUCACUUGUUAAAUUCUUCGGCCUAACUGAAGGUCUGCAAGUGAUACUGAUGAGCUAGAGGGUGGAAGAGAGAAGUGGAAUUCUCGGAGUAGCGGUAAAAUGCGUAGAUCUCGAGAGGAACACCAAUGGCGAAGGCAGCUUCUUGGUCCACUCCUGACGUUCAUACACGAAAGCGUGGGGAGCAAACAGGAUUAGAUACCCCCGUAGUCCCUGUCUCUUAUAC
RNAcentral lists this ribosomal RNA (305 nucleotides) under uncultured bacterium. RNAcentral describes it as "partial 16S ribosomal RNA". It matches the Rfam family "Bacterial small subunit ribosomal RNA", at positions 508 to 807 of the family's 1533-position model. The record is from RNAcentral.